UAAAGGGCGCGUAGGCGGUUUUGUAAGUCUAAGGUGGAAUUCCACAGCUCAACUGUGGAACUGCCUUAGAAACUGCAAAGCUUGAGUCAGGUAGAGGAGGGCGGAAUUCCCGGUGUAGCGGUGAAAUGCAUUGAUAUCGGGAGGAACACCAGUGGCGAAGGCGGAUCUCUGGCCCGUUGCUGACGCUGAGGUGCGAAAGCUGGGGGAGCGAAAGGGAUUAGAUACCCCUGUAGUCCCAGCCCUAAACGAUGGGCGCUAGGUGUUGGGGGAUUAACCCUCAGCGCCGAAGCUAACGCAUUAAGCGCCCCGCCUGGGGAGUACGGCCGCAAGGUUGAAACUCAAAGGAAUUGACGGGGGCCCGCACAAGCGGUGGAGCAUGUGGAUUAAUUCGAUACAAACCGAAGAACCUUACCUGGGCUUGACAUCCACGAGAAACGCCUGGAAACAGGCGCCUCGGGAAACCGACCCGUGGACACCGGUUGCAUGGCUGUCGUCAGCUCGUGCCGUGAGAUGUUGGGUUAAGUCCCGCAACGAGCGCAACCCUUACUGUGUGUUGCCAUCAGGUGGAGCUGGGCACUCACACGGAACUGCCGGCGACAAGUCGGAGGAAGGUGGGGAUGACGUCAAAUCAUCAUGGCCCUUAUGUCCGGGGCUACACACGUGCUACAAUGGCCGGUACAGAGGGAUGCGAACCUGCGAGGGGGAGCGGAACCCAGAAAGCCGGUCUCAGUUCGGAUUGGAGUCUGCAACUCGACUCCAUGAAGUCGGAAUCGCUAGUAAUCGC
This 784-nucleotide ribosomal RNA is filed under the name uncultured Armatimonadota bacterium. Its description in RNAcentral is "bacterial SSU rRNA". It matches the Rfam family "Bacterial small subunit ribosomal RNA", at positions 561 to 1345 of the family's 1533-position model. The record is from RNAcentral. Lineage: Bacteria; Bacillati; Armatimonadota.